AUAUAUAUAUAUUCUCUUGUAGCCAAGGGCGUGCAGAAGGAGAAGUUGGAUAGGAAACUGAAGUGGGAAGGAAAGAAUGGCGAGAUACAACUACUACUACUACCGGUACCCUUACUUGGAGUACUUGACAUUGCCUCCUCUGCAGCUGUGUGUGUUUGGUUUGGUCCUUCUUCUGGUGAUGGCCUUUUCAUGGACUCUCUCCACCGCGCCGGUGGCUCACCCUGGGGCGUCGCUAUCCUCCUCAUCUUCCUUCUCUAUGUUAUCUCUCACCAGUCUCAUUACCACCAACGCUGGUUCCCUUUCGGCUAUAGAUAGUGCUUAACUACUUCAAUUCUGCUUAAGUUUGAUACUUGAUUAUACUCUUUGGUUUUGUGGAGUUUUUGCUAUUAUUAUGUGUAUUGUUUAUGUCACUAGAAUUGUUAUAUUACAAUAACGACUUUGUCGUCUACAUGAUCUAUUGAAAGUUUGUGUUUGUGAAAUAUGAUACAGAUUUAUCAAGGUAUUGUUUAAUAAUCAUUUAAGUCUCGUGUAGUAA
Non-coding RNA from Benincasa hispida (wax gourd), 535 nucleotides. The record is from RefSeq and is a predicted model, not a curated record. Lineage: Eukaryota; Viridiplantae; Streptophyta; Magnoliopsida; Cucurbitales; Cucurbitaceae.